This 1142-nucleotide long non-coding RNA is filed under the name Apteryx owenii (little spotted kiwi). RNAcentral's name for it is "lncRNA (ENSAOWG00000015786.1)". The record is from RNAcentral. Lineage: Eukaryota; Metazoa; Chordata; Aves; Apterygiformes; Apterygidae.
CCGCUUAAAGCCGGGAACGGCGCGGCGGAGUUGCGGGAAGGGACUGACGGAGGGAGGUUAAUUAUAACAGAGAGAGUCGCUAUUUAUUUUUUGUAGUAGUGUCGUACGAAUGUACCGUGGUUUGAAAACGGUUGUUGCCUUUUUAUAUUAUUUAUGCCUUGAAAUUCCGUCUUUAUUUUUUUUCCCUCCUCCCCGUGCACCACGGAAUGUGUUUUUUUAUUUUAAAAAAAGGAGCAAUAAUAUAAAGAACGACGGGAACUACGUAGCGUGGUUUCCGUGGGGUGUCGCCGGUGUGAGGAGCGAGGCGGAAGCGGCUAACGCGCGGAUGGAGCCGAGCAAAUCCGAGCGGAGUGGACCGCCGUGGCGGUGUUUCUGGCGGGAGCACCGAGGGAUGAAACCCACCUCCUGCAGGAUGCGGGAGCAAUCCAGGGCGCUCAGGACCGUUUCCUUGGCUUCUCCCGGCACCGUUUGUAGAACCGGAGCGGCAAAUUGGCUUAAAACCACCUUUCUCGCUCGCGCCUUCGCCCCCCUCGUCCCCCGGCUGCACCGACGGGGACGAGCGGGAGGCGCCACCGAAAGAGCUGUUUGCCAGGCUGAGGGAAUAGGAGCCGCUGGAAUACCUGCCGUUGCCUCCGGAGCUGAAGGAGCCCUUGGGAAAGCGCUCCGGGUUCGACGCAACCCGCCGGCCUGGCAGGAACGGCGCCCGCCACGCGAUGGAGCUACGGGCAGGAGCGGCGCCGGUGGUGGGGAAGGGAGGAAGCGGAGCCGGCCUGGCCUCUCCCGGAGAUCCCGGGACCUUCGGAGAAAAACCGCUUUGCCGGCGGGCCGGCGCGGCACCGCAUAUGCAGCGAAAAAAAGGAAAAAAACCUCCGUGCUCCUCUGCAAACGCCGCUUGGCCGCGGCGCCCAGCCCCUCGCUUUGCGCCGUUCCCCGCAAGCAGCGACCUCAACGCACCGCGGUGGGCGUAGUGGAUGGAAACCCGCGCUGCCUUUUCCCCGGAAGCCAUCAAUAUUCCUUGGGAAAUGGGGCGUACGCGGCCCUCGCCCUCCGCCGCUUCCCGGCCCACGACUUCGUUCCGGCCCGAAUACAGGUGACAACUGCCCCGAAUGCAACGGGAAAUAAAUAUUUAUUUAAGCUUUGGG